GCCGCCGCGGUAAUACGGAAGGUCCGGGCGUUAUCCGGAUUUAUUGGGUUUAAAGGGAGCGUAGGUGGACUGUCAAGUCAGUUGUGAAAUCCGCGGGCUCAACCUGCGGCCUGCAGUUGAAACUGGCGGUCUUGAGUCCGUUCAGGGAUGCUGGAAUUCAUGGUGUAGCGGUGAAAUGCUCAGAUAUCAUGAAGAACUCCAAUCGCGAAGGCAGGCAUCCGGGCCGGAACUGACACUGAGGCUCGAAAGUGCGGGUAUCAAACAGGAUUAGAUACCCC
Molecule: ribosomal RNA, 278 nt
Filed under: uncultured Oscillospiraceae bacterium
Lineage: Bacteria; Bacillati; Bacillota; Clostridia; Eubacteriales; Oscillospiraceae
Description: partial 16S ribosomal RNA
Rfam family: Bacterial small subunit ribosomal RNA
Source: RNAcentral